Molecule: long non-coding RNA, 634 nt
Organism: Callithrix jacchus (white-tufted-ear marmoset)
Lineage: Eukaryota; Metazoa; Chordata; Mammalia; Primates; Cebidae
Source: RefSeq, a predicted model, not a curated record
CAUGCUUCUGGCUCAUCUGUGAUCACCAGGAAACUCCCAGACCUGACACUGGUGCAUUUCACUGCUGACGAAAGGGCUGCUGCCACUAGCCUAUGGAGCAAGGUUGAUGUGAGAAGGCUGGAGGUGAGAUUCUGGGCAGUCUCCUGGUCGUCUACCCAUGGAUCCAGAGGUACUUUGAGAGUUUUGGCAAUCUGGGCUCUGACUGUAACUCCAAAGUCAAGGCACAUGCAAGAAGGUGCUGAUCUCCUUCAGAAAAGCUGUUAGGCUCAUGGAUGACCUCAUAAGGCACCUUUGCUAUGCUGAAUGACUUGCACUGUGACAAGCUAUACAUGGACCCUGAGAACUUCCUUCUCUUAGGCAACGUGAUAUUGAUGGUUUUGGCAACCCACUUCAGCAAGGAGUUUACCCUACAGAUACAGGCUUCCGGGAAAAGACCGACAAACGCUGUGGCCUGCAAUUACCACUGAGCUCCCCGUCCACUGUGUUUGGAGCUACUGGUCCACUAUGUUUGUACCCAUGUCCUAAAAGCUUAUCUCCUUUAGAUGGAGGAUGUUGGGGAGAAGAGCAAUAUUCUGCCUGCAGACUCAGCUCCUGCAUGAUAAAAAUAAAAUAAAUAAAUGUGCUCUCUAAGAAA